AACGAACGCUGGCGGCAUGCCUAACACAUGCAAGUCGAACGAGACCUUCGGGUCUAGUGGCGCACGGGUGCGUAACACGUGGGAAUUUGCCUCGGGGUAUGGAAUAACUCAGGGAAACUUGAGCUAAUACCAUAUAAUGUCUUCGGACCAAAGAUUUAUCGCCCUGAGAUAAGCCCGCGUAGGAUUAGCUAGUUGGUGGGGUAAAGGCUCACCAAGGCGACGAUCCUUAGCUGGUCUGAGAGGAUGAUCAGCCACACUGGGACUGAGACACGGCCCAGACUCCUACGGGAGGCAGCAGUGGGGAAUCUUGGACAAUGGGCGCAAGCCUGAUCCAGCCAUGCCGCGUGAGUGAAGAAGGUCUUCGGAUUGUAAAGCUCUUUUGCCAGGGACGAUAAUGACGGUACCUGGAGAAUAAGCCCGGCAAACUUACGUGCCAGCAGCCGCGGUAAAGUCAGUGACU
RNAcentral lists this ribosomal RNA (460 nucleotides) under uncultured bacterium. Its description in RNAcentral is "bacterial SSU rRNA". It matches the Rfam family "Bacterial small subunit ribosomal RNA", at positions 29 to 535 of the family's 1533-position model. The record is from RNAcentral.